Long non-coding RNA from Gossypium raimondii (Peruvian cotton), 1331 nucleotides. RefSeq lists it as uncharacterized. The transcript has 2 exons. NCBI's taxonomy places the organism in Eukaryota, Viridiplantae, Streptophyta, Magnoliopsida, Malvales, Malvaceae. The record is from RefSeq and is a predicted model, not a curated record.
AUUAGUAACAGAUUUUGGCCCAUUAGGAUGCCCAACAGGUUUAUGGCCUUUAAGAGGAAUUUUGGACUUGGACUUCCGGACCAACCCAUUAAAAGGAACCCCCCACUGAAUGCCUUGAUUCCUCCUUCCUUAAUACUUCAGCAGAAACGUUUUUAUCCGUUGGGGAUUUCCCCAAAAUCUCGGUUAGGAUUCCUUUCCCAUGAUUCUUAUGGAUCUGUGAGUUGCCUUUCAUUGAAUUAUCUUCCGAAAUUACAGCCUCUAAAUCGGUUAGGGAUUGGAACCGAGAUCCCGAUGAUUUUUCCCCAGAUACAGACUUUCCUAUUUUGUUGUCUUCCCGAGAGGCGCGUCUGGUCCUCCUCUCCACCAACAUCCAGGGGCCAAAGUCUCCAGGUCCGGCCACCGUGUUCUCCUGUAAUUUCACCGCCGAUGAAUCCAUUACCUUCGCCGAAUCAGAGAUGAGGGGAACAUGCGGACAAGCUUCAGUAUUAUGGCCAUAACGCCCACAUGAGAGACACCACUGGUAGGCUCUCGUAUUCAACUCUUUGCAUAUUUCCAUUAAUAAGGAGUUUUGAGAUCAGUGGCUUCCCCAGGUUAACGACCCCUUGCCCCACUAUCAGUAUUGAAAUGUAAUUUGGUAACUUUACCCACCAUUCCCCCAAUGUCCCAUAGGAUCUCCUUUUUGUACAAAUGACUGGGAAGGCCUGGAAACCUGAUCCACGUAAGAACCGUAUUGGGGUAGGGUAAUUCCGGGUUAAAAUCGAUUGUCCAGGGCUGAACUAUUAAGUAUUGCCCAAAAAUAAGCCAUAGUCCCAGUGACAGAAUUUUCUCAUAAUCUUCAGGACUUUGAAAUUUGGCAAGAAAUAGCCAUUUUCAAUGUCCAUUAAUUGAAAUGGCUUAGAGGGUCUCCAGAUGCCAUACAAUCGGUUUUGCAGAGCCGUAAACCCGAUAUUCCUUCCCAACAAUUUGAGGACCACUGAAGUGGACAUUUCCUUUUCAAGCAGCUGAUGUACUCUCUCCGAGACUUCAAUGGAGGGAAUACCAUUGAUUACCGAUUUUUUGACAUCCCCUUCAGCCUUUCCAAGACAGAGAUGGUGCUGGUGUUGGAUCCACAACCAUCACGUCUUCUGCAUUAUCCUCCGAUUCCUUAAAGCGGACUUUCUUUGUGUUCGGAUCAUCAGGAAGAUUAUCUCCUUCACUAUUCUUGGGACAGAGAGAAACUGAAGUAGCCAUUGUUUUAGAGUAGAUUAAAUGUUCAAUUUUAGUUUUCUUUUAAGUAAAAAAAAAACACAACCAUAAAAUAAAAAUAUACAAAAAUCUGAAUAUUAAGAUAA